GUCAAGUUGUGUUUGAAAUUUGAUUUUUUUCAGGGGCAAAAGGAAGCCUCUGCAUUGUUGUCAAAUAUGUAAAUAGCAUGUUUUUGCAGGUGCUAAAAAACAGACUCUGAGUGUGUGUGUGUGUGUGUGUGUGUGUGUGUGUGUGUGUGUGUGUGUGUGUGUGUGUGUGUGUGUGUGUGUGUGUGUGUGUGUGUGUGUGUGUGUGUAUCCUGCAGUACUCUGUACUCCUGCAGUGGCCAAAACGACUUUUAAGAAUGUGGAUUUUUGGGUCAUCUUUGGCGCCCCCUAGAACGUAAACCAUGGGGUGCAGCGGCAUGAUUUUUACAACUUUUAAUGGCCAUGGGGUGUAGAUUGGCCUGAGCAAAUUUGGUGUCAGUGGGACGAAAGCCUUAGGAGGAGUUAGCCACAUUCCAAUGUGUGCGAAUGGGCAAAAAAUGCGAAAUAGCCCUUUAGCCGUACAUUUUACAGAUACGUGCCCAUUGACUUUUUCGUAGAUCUUAUUGAGAUACACGUGUGUGUCAAAUUUUUUGUCAAUAUGACAAAGCGUACAGGCGUGAAUCUCAACAAUGUGUAUUUUCACCUUAGGGGACAAGAAAAAAUUGACUUUUUUGUCCUGCCAUGGGGGGGCGCUCUUUUGGGGAGUCAAAAUUCCUUCACAAAUGUGUUGAUGGCUGGACAUUGCAUCAUCCUAGAGAACUUGGAGGCCAGUGAGGACAAAAAUAAAAAGUUAUAAGACUUUUAAGAAUGUGGAUUUUUGGGUUUUGGAUGGAGCUUCAUGGUUGUCUUUUGGAGAAAUGACCAGUCAAGUUGUGUUUGAAAUUUGAUUUUUUUCAGGGGCAAAAGGAGCCUCUGCAUUCUUGUCAAAUAUGUAAAUAGCAUGUUUUUGCAGGUGCUAAAAAACAGACUCUGAGUGUGUGUGUGUGUGCGUGUGUCUGUGUGUGUGUGUGUGUGUGUGUGUGUGUGUGUGCGUUCAAGUCACAUGACAUAUUUAACUGGAUGUAGCUGCAAGACGGAGCCUCAUUGACUCUCCGUUUCAACUUCUCUCAAAAGUGAGGACCUCAACCUAUAUACCAGUUUUUAAAUUGUGUUGAUAGGCCAAAUAAAACCAGAGUUAUGAUAAAUUAUGUCCGCGAUACUUGUUUUCUGCUUAUUUUGAUCACGUUCGGCGCUCGUUCGCGCUGUAUGAGACAGGAAAACAUAGCAUGCAGACAUUAGCGACAGGUCUUACAGGCGGAAAAGGCUUGCCAAAGGAAAAAAAAAACACACCACAACAUCUCUCCUAUUGGUGGAAAACUUCACCACAACAACAAAUCCAAAAUUAUAUGGUGACUGAUUGACAAGGGGCGGGCGCUUACGUUCUUCCUGCAAUAUGAGAAGGGAGGGAGGGACUCUCAGCAGGGAUGCAGUCUGGGACACGUAGUUGCAAACCUAGCGACUUUGUUGUUAGAUUCAAUGACUUUUCAGACCCCCUAACGACUUUUUUUUAGAAAGAAAGUGACUUUUAUCGACUUCUUCUGGAGUUUAGAGACUCUGACAAUAAGCAGGCUUUCCUUACUGAGGAGUUAGCAACGCUGCUAAGGGUGCAGAGCCACACAUGCGCUCCGAGCUCUGCAUGGGAGACUGAAGCUGACAGAGCUGCAGCAGUUAGCAGGUUUCACCCUCAGAGACCACCAGGGGUUCAUGUUGAGGCAUUUUCAGUUUUUUUUUUUUUUUUGCCAUAGACACUGUCAGCACAAUCUGCAGUUACACUAACAAAAAUGCUGCAAAAAACAAAGAAUUAUGGAAAAAUUACACAUGGACUAACAUAGAGGAGGAUCUACACAAGUUUUUUACAUCAUGUUUUACAUCAUGCAUCAUUUACAUCAUGUUUUUUUGUAGUGGCAUAAAUAAAAAGUGACAUUUGUGAGACUAUACAGUGUUUUGUAAAUAAUUUGGUGCCGGUGGAACGAAAGCCUUAGGAGGAGUUAGCCACAUUCCAAUGUGUGCGGAUCAGCAAAAAAUGCGGAAUAACCCUUUAACCGUACAUUUGACAGAUACGCGCCCAUUGACUUUUUCGUAGAUCUUAUUGAGAUACAUGUGUGUGUCAAUUUUUGUGUCAUUUUGCCAAAGCGUAAAGGCGUGACACUCAACAAUGUGUAUUUUCACCUUAGGGGACAAGAAAAAAUGGACUUUUUUCUCCUGCCAUGGGGGGGCGCUCUUUUAGGGAGUCAAAAUUCCUUCACAAAUGUGUUGAUGGCUGGACAUUGCAUCACCCUAAAAAAUUUGGAGGCCAGUGAGGGCAAAAAUAAAAAGUUAUAAGACUUUUAAAUAUGUGGAUUUUAGGGUUAUCUUUGGCGCCCCCUAGAACCUAAACCGUGGGGUGCAGCGUCAUGAUUUGAAUAACUUUUAAUGGCCAUGGGGUGUAGAUUGGCCUGAGCAAAUGUGGUGCCGGUGGAACUAAAGCCUUCGGAGGAGUUAGCGAAAUUCCAAUGUGUGCGGAUCGGCAAAAAAUGCGGAAUAACCCUUUAACUGUACAUUUUACAUAUACGUGGCCAUUGACUUUUGCGAAGAUCUUAUUGAAAUACACGUGUAUGUCAAAUUUUGUGUCAUUUUGACAAAGCGUACAGGCGUGACACUCUACAAUGUGUAUUUUCACCUUAGGGGACAAGAAAAAAUUGACUUUUUUCUCCUGUCAUGGGGGGCGCUCUUUUGGGGAGUAAAAAUUCCUUCACAAAUGUGUUGAUGGCUGGACAUUGCAUCAUCCUAGAAAACUUGGAGGCCAGUGAGGGCAAAAAUAAAAAGUUAUAAGACUUUUAAAUAUGUGGAUUUUAGGGUUAUCUUUGGCGCCCCCUAGAACCUGAAACCGUGGGGUGCAGCGUCAUGAUUUGAAUAACUUUUAAUGGCCAUGGGGUGUAGAUUGGCCUGAGCAAAUGUGGUGCCGGUGGAACUAAAGCCUUCGGAGGAGUUAGCGAAAUUCCAAUGUGUGCGGAUCAGCAAAAAAUGCGAAAUAACCCUUUAACUGUACAUUAGACAGAUACGCCCGCACUGACUUUUUUGUAGAUCUUAUUGAGAUACAUGUGUGUGUCAAUUUUUCUGUCAUUUUGACAAAGCGUACAGGCGUCACAAUAGUGUGAAUUUUCACCUUAGGGGGCGCUAUGGAGCCAUUUUGCAUUUUAUUGUUUGGGCGACUUCAGAAUAUCAAAUAUUUCACCAGGCCCGGUCGUCCUGCCAAAUUUCAUGAGUUUUCGCCAGUGGGAAGUGGGCCAUUUUCCAGUUCAAAGGGGAAGAAAAAGAAAAACUAGGGCCCCGUUGGGGCACUGGCGGGCCCGAGCCGUGUCACGCCGCCCCCAGCGCGACCGCCUCCCCCACCCGAUCGCGUCACACUCAAGGUCCAAAGAUGGUGUGCGCACUUGUUUGUGGUCAUUUACCAUUAUAAUGAACGGGAGGCGCAGUUUCUACCAAAACGCUCGCUGCAGAAAAACUCCAUGUCCUAUUUGAAAAAAGUCUGGACCAUGAGUGAGGGCACAAACACAGCUAAGAUAUAUCCGAAUGGCAAGUUGCUCCUCCUUUCGGUUUUGCCGAGAGAGCGAUGCGUUUGAGCCAUUGAGCGAUGGGCAGGAAAAACUUGACUUUUUCUCCUGCCAUGGGGGGCGCUCUUUUGGGGAGAAAAAAUUCCUUCACAAAUGUGUUGAUGGCUGAAUAUUGCAUUAUCCUAGAAAACUUGGAGGCCAGUGAGGACAAAAAUAAAAAGUUAUAAGACUUUUGAAAAUGUGGAUAUUUGGGUCAUCUUUGGCGCCCCCUAGAACGUAAACCGUGGAGUGCAGCGUCAUGAUUUGUACAACUUUGAAUGGCCAUGGGGUGUAGAUUGGCCUGAGCAAAUUUGGUGCCGAUGGGACGAAAGCUUUAGGAGGAGUUAGCCACAUUCCAAUGUGUGCGAAUCGGCAAAAAAUGCAAAAUAGCCCUUUGACCGUACAUUUUACAGAUACGUGGCCAUUGACUUUUUCGAAGAUCUUAUUGAGAUACACGUGUAUGUAAAAUUUUGUGUCAAUACGACAAAACAUACAGGCGUAGCACUCAACAAUGUGUAUUUUCACCUUAGUGGACAAGAAAAAAUGACUUUUUUCUCCUGCCAUGGGGGGGCGCUCUUUUGCCGAGUAAAAAUUCCUUCACAAAUGUGUUGAUGGCUGGACAUUGCAUCAUCCUAGAAAACUUGGAGGCCAGUGGGGACAAAAAUAAAAAGUUAUAAGACUUUUAAAUAUGUGGAUUUUACGGUUAUCUUUGGCCCCCCUAGAACCUAAACCGUGGGGUGCAGCGUCAUGAUUUGAAUAACUUUUAAUGGCCAUGGGGUGUAGAUUGGCCUGAGCAAAUGUGGUGCCGGUGGAACGAAAGCCUUCGGAGGAGUUAGCGAAAUUCCAAUGUGUGCGGAUCGGCAAAAAAUGCGGAAUAACCCUUUAACCGUACAUUUGACAGAUACGCGCGCAUUGACUUUUUCGUAGAUCUUAUUGAGAUACAUGUGUGUGUCAAUUUUUGUGUCAUUUUGCCAAAGCGUACAGGUGUUACACUCAACAAUGUGUAUUUUCACCUUGGGGACAAGAAAAAAUGGACUUUUUUCUCCUGCCAUGGGGGGGCGCUCUUUUGGGGAGUAAAAAUUCCUUCACAAAUGUGUUGAUGGCUGGACAUUGCAUCAUCCUAGAAAACUUGGAGGCCAGUGAGGGCAAAAAUAAAAAGUUAUAAGACUUUUAAAUAUGUGGAUCUUAGGGUUAUCUUUGGCGCCCCCUAGAACCUAAACCGUGGGGUGCAGCGUCAUGAUUUGAAUAACUUUUAAUGGCCAUGGGGUGUAGAUUGGCCUGAGCAAAUGUGGUGCCGGUGGAACGAAAGCCUUCGGAGGAGUUAGCGAAAUUCCAAUGUGUGCGGAUCGGCAAAAAAUGCGAAAUAACCCUUUAACCGUACAUUUGACAGAUACGCCCGCACUGACUUUUUUGUAGAUCUUAUUGAGAUACAUGUGUGUGUCAAUUUUUGUGUCAUUUUGACAAAGCGUACAGGCGUGACAGUCAAUAGUGUGAAUUUUCACCUUAGGGGGCGCUAUGGAGCCAUUUUGCAUUUUCUUGUUUGGGCGACUUCGGAAUAUCAAAUUUUUCACCAGGCCCGGUCGUCCUGCCAAAUUUCAUGAGUUUUCGCCAGUGGGAAGUGGGCCAUUUUCCAGUUCAAAGGGGAGGAAAAAUAACUAGGACCCCGUUGGGGCACUGGCGGGCCCGAGCCGUGUCGCGCCCCCCCCCAACGUGCUGCCUCCCCGUCCCAUUUGUGUCCUCUGGCCAUCGCCCUCUCUGGUAACGCCCAUCACUGCAAAGACCCUUUUCCUUCAUCGGCGUUUGCUGUUCUUCCUGCCAGUGCGUGUUGCUUUCACUUACACUUGCCACAGCCAGCCUCGUGAGUGCCUAGCCUAUUGGAUAUCACUGUCACCUACACAGGACAGUCAUUACCUUUCUAUUAAUACUUUGUGUUUUAAUUUCACAUUAAUUUCCAUAUUGUAUAAACGACUGGAAAAAACUUGAGCCCCUGCCCCUGUAUAAUCAUGUGCAUGUCUCUGUUCUAGCUCCAAGGUGAAUCUUCACUGCUCAUGUUCUCCUCAGAAGCACUCACCUCACUCCCCUCAGGUUACUGUACACAUGCACCAACUGCCUGCUUCAGGUUUGGAUGGAGCUUCAUGGUUGUCUUUUGGAGAAAUGACCAGUCAAGUUGUGUUUGAAAUUUGAUUUUUUUCAGGGGCAAAAGGAGCCUCUGCAUUCUUGUCAAAUAUGUAAAUAGCAUGUUUUUGCAGGUGCUAAAAACCAGACUCUGAGUGUGUGUGUGUGUGUGUGCGUGUGUGUGUCUGUGUGUGCGUUCAAGUCACAUGACAUAUUUAACCGGAUGUAGCUGCAGCCUCGUUGACUCUCCGUUUCAACUUAUCUCAAAAGUGAGGACCUCAACCUAUAUACCAGUUUUUAAAUUGUGUUGAUAGGCCAAAUAAAACCAGAGUUAUGAUAAAUUAUGUCCGCGAUACUUUUUUUCUGCUUAUUUUGAUCACGUUCGGCGCUCGAUCGCGCUGUAUGAGACAGGAAAACAUAGCAUGCAGACAUUAGCGACAGCUCUUACAGGCGGAAAAGGCUUGCCAAAAGAAAAAAAAAACACACCACAACAUCUCUCCUAUUGGUGGAAAACUUCACCACAACAACCAAUCCAAAAUUAUAUGGUGACUGAUUGACAAGGGGCGGGCGCUUACGUUCUUCCUGCAACAUGAGAAGGGAGGGAGGGACUCUCAGCAGGGAUGCAGUCUGGGACACGUAGUUGCAAACCUAGCGACUUUGUUGUUAGAUUCAAUGACUUUUCAGACCCCCUAACGACUUUUUUUUAGAAAGAAAGGGACUUUUAUCGACUUCUUCUGGAGUUUAGAGACUCUGACAUGAAGCAGGCUUUCCUUACUGAGGAGUUAGCAACGCUGCUAAGGGUGCAGAGCCACACAUGCGCUCAGAGCUCUGCAUGGGAGACUGAAGCUGACAGAGCUGCAGCAGUUAGCAGGUUUCACCCUCAGAGACCACCAGGGGUUCAUGUUGAGGCAUUUUAAUUUUUUUUUUUUUGUGCCAUAGACACUGUCAGCACAAUCUGCAGUUACACUAACAAAAAUGCUGCAAAAAACAAAGAAUUAUGGAAAAAUUACACAUGGACUGACAUACAGGAGGAUCUACACAAGUUUUUUACAUCAUGUUUUACAUCAUGCAUCAUUUACAUCAUGUUUUUUUGUAGUGGCAUAAAUAAAAAGUGACAUUUGUGAGACUAUACAGUGUUUUGUAAAUAAUUUUACAAAGAACGCCUGGGCCAUUGCCUGCAUUUUGAUGUAAAUAGAGGUAAAUCACUAUGUUCUUUGUUAAAAAUUUGCAUAUGUUUUGAAGUUUACAAUUUUUAUUUGAAGUUUAAGUUUUAAAAACAGUUCAUCACACAUAUUUGUGGUUUUCACAGUAAAAAUGUUACUUUUUUCCACUCGGAUUUUAUGUUUUGUGUGUGAAUUUGGGUCCAUUGUGUAAAUUCAGUAUGUCAACAUGAUAAAAUAACUGUAAAUUCGCACAGGUGAGGUUGUGCUGAAAAAAAUGAUACCAGGCAAGGCACGUGAUUGUCAAAUUUUGUGUCAAUAUGACAAAGCGUAUAGGCGUGAAUCUCAACAAUAUGUAUUUUCACCUUAGGGGACAAGAAAAAAUGGACUUUUUUCUCCUGCCAUGGGGGGGCGCUCUUUUGGGGAGUAAAAAUUCCUUCACAAAUGUGUUGAUGGCUGGACAUUGCAUCAUCCUAGAAAACUUGGAGGCCAGUGAGGACAAAAAUAAAAAGUUAUAAGACUUUUAAAUAUGUGGAUUUUAGGGUUAUCUUUGGCGCCCCCUAGAACCUAAACCGUGGGGUGCAGCGUCAUGAUUUUGAUAACUUUUAAUGGCCAUGGGCUGUAGAUUGGCCUGAGCAAAUGUGGUGCCGGUGGAACGAAAGCCUUAGGAGGAGUUAGCCACAUUCCAAUGUGUGCGGAUCGGCAAAAAAUGCGGAAUAACCCUUUAACCGUACAUUUGACAGAUACGCGCGCAUUGACUUUUUCGUAGAUCUUAUUGAGAUACAUGUGUGUGUCAAAUUUUGUGUCAUUUUGACAAAGCGUAUAGGCGUGACACUCAACAAUGUGUAUUUUCACCUUAGGGGACAAGAAAAAAUGGACUUUUUUCUCCUGCCAUGGGGGGGCGCUCUUUUGGGGAGUAAAAAUUCCUUCACAAAUGUGUUGAUGGCUGGACAUUGCAUCAUCCUAGAAAACUUGGAGGCCAGUGAGGACAAAAAUAAAAAGUUAUAAGACUUUUAAAUAUGUGGAUUUUAGUGUUAUCUUUGGCGCCCCCUAGAACCUAAACCUUGGGGUGCAGCGUCAUGAUUUUGAUAACUUUUAAUGGCCACGGGGUGUAGAUUGGCCUGAGCAAAUGUGGUGCCGGUGGAACGAAAGCCUUCGGAGGAGUUAGCGAAAUUCCAAUGUGUGCAGAUCGGCAAAAAAUGCGAAAUAACCCUUUAACCGUAAUUUUGACAGAUACGGCCGCACUGACUUUUUUGUAGAUCUUAUUGAGAUACAUGUGUGUGUCAAUUUUUGUGUCAUUUUGACAAAGCGUACAGUCGUGACAGUGAAUUGUGUGAAUUUUCACCUUAGGGGGCGCUAUGGAGCCAUUUUGCAUUUUAUUGUUUUGGCGACUUCAGAAUAUCAAAUUUUUCACCAGGCCCGGUCGUCCUGCCAAAUUUCAUGAGUUUUCGCCAGUGGGAAGUGGGCCAUUUUCCAGUUCAAAGGGGAGGAAAAAGAAAAAAGAAAGAAAGAAACAAAGACUAGGGCCCCGGUGGGGCACUGUCGGGCCCGAGCCGCGUUGUGCCGCCCCCAGCGCGACCGCCUCCCCCUCCCGAUCGCGUCACACUCAAGGUCCAAAGAUGGUGUGCGCACUUGUCUGUGGUCAUUUCCCAUUAUAAUGAAUGGGAGGCGCAGUUUCUACCAAAACACUCGCUGCAGACAAACUUCAUGUCCUAUUUGAAAAAAGUCUGGACCAUGAGUGAGGGCACAAACACAGCUGGGAUAUAUCCAAAUGGCAGGUUGCUCCUGGAUACGGUGUUGCCUGGAGAGCGAUGCGAUUGAGCCAUUGAGCGAUGGGCAGGAAAAACUUGACUUUUUCUCCUGCCAUGGGGGGGGGAGAAUGUGGAUUCUUUUAAGAAUGUGGAUUUUUUGGUCAUCUUUGGCGCCCCCUAGAACGUAAACCGUGGGGUGCAGCGUCAUGAUUUUUACAACUUUGAAUGGCCAUGGGGUGUAGAUUGGCCUGAGCAAAUUUGGUUUCAGUGGGACGAAAGCCUUAGGAGGAGUUAGCCACAUUCCAAUGUGUGCGAAUCGGCAAAAAAUGCAAAAUAGCCCUCUAACCGUACAUUUGACAGAUACGCACCCAUUGACUUUUUCGUAGAUCUUAUUGAGAUACACGUGAUUGUCAAAUUUUGUGUCAAUAUGACAAAGCGUACAGGUGUCACACUCAACAAUGUGAAUUUUCACCUUACGGGACAAGAAAAAAUUGACUUUUUUCUCCUGCCAUGGGGGGGCGCUCUUUUAGGGAGUAAAAAUUCCUUCACAAAUGUGUUGAUGGCUGGACAUUGCAUCAUCCUAGAAAACUUGGAGGCCAGUGAGGACAAAAAUAAAAAGUUAUAAGACUUUGAAAUAUGUGGAUUUUAGGGUUAUCUUUGGCGCCCCCUAGAACCUAAACCGUGGGGUGCAGCGUCAUGAUUUGAAUAACUUUUAAUGGCCAUGGGGUGUAGAUUGGCCUGAGCAAAUGUGGUGCCGGUGGAACGCCAGCCUUAGGAGGAGUUAGCGAAAUUCCAAUGUGUGCGGAUCAGCAAAAAAUGCAGAAUAACCCUUUAACCGUACAUUUGACAGAUACGCGCGCAUUGACUUUUUCGUAGAUCUUAUUGAGAUACAUGUGUGUGUCAAAUUUUGUGUCAAUAUGACAAAGCGUACAGGCGUGACACUCAACAAUGUGUAUUUUCACCUUAGGGGACAAGAAAAAAUGGACUUUUUUCUCCGGCCAUGGGGGGGCGCUCUUUUGGGGAGUAAAAAAUCCUUCACAAAUGUGUUGAUGGCUGGACAUUGCAUCAUCCUAGAAAACUUGGAGGCCAGUGAGGGUAAAAAUAAAAAGUUAUAAGACUUUUAAAUAUGUGGAUUUUAGGGUUAUCUUUGGCGCCCCCUAGAACCUAAACCGUGGGGUGCAGCGUCAUGAUUUGAAUAACUUUUAAUGGCCAUGGGGUGUAGAUUGGCCUGAGCAAAUGUGGUGCCGGUGGAAAGAAAGCCUUCGGAGGAGUUAGCGAAAUUCCAAUGUGUGCGGAUCUGCAAAAAAUGCGAAAUAACCCUUUAACCGUACAUUUGACAGAUACGCCCGCACUGACUUUUUUGUAGAUCUUAUUGAGAUACAUAUGUGUGUCAAUUUUUGUGUCAUUUUGACAAAGCGUAAAGGCGUGACAGUCAAUAGUGUGAAUUUUCACCUUAGGGGGCGCUAUGGAGCCAUUUUGCAUUUUCUUGUUUGGGCGACUUCGGAAUAUCAAAUUUUUCACCAGGCCCGGUCAUCCUGCCAAAUUUCAUGAGUUUUCGCCAGUGGGAAGUGGGCCAUUUUCCAGUUCAAAGGGGAGGAAAAAGAAGAAAGAAAGAAACAAAGAAAAACCACUUGGGGAAUAAUAGGGCUCUCGCAGCUGCUUAGCAGCUACGCUCGGGCCCUAAUAAUAAUAAUAAUAACAAAAGAAGGAAACUACAGGAACAAGAGGGCUCUCGCAGCUGCUUAGCAGCUACGCUCGGGCCCUAACUAGGGCCCCGUUGGGGCACUGGCGGGCCCGAGCCGUGUCACGCCGCCCCCAGCGCGACCGCCUCCCCCACCCGAUCGCGUCACACUCAAGGUCCAAAGAUUGUGUGCGCACUUGUUUGUGGUCAUUUACCAUUAUAAUGAACGGGAGGCGCAGUUUCUACCAAAACGCUCGCUGCAGAAAAACUCCAUGUCCUAUUUGAAAAAAGUCUGGACCAUGAGUGAGGGCACAAACACAGCUAAGAUAUAUCCAAAUGGCAAGUUGCUCCUCCUUUCGCUUUUGCCGAGAGAGCAGUGCGUUUGAGCCAUUGAAUGAUGAACAGGAAAAACUUGACUUUAUUCUCCUGCCAUGGGGGGGCGCUCUUUUAACGAGAAAAAACUCCUUCACAAAUGUGUUGAUGGCUGGACAUUGCAUCAUCCUAGAAAACAUGGAGGCCAGUGAGGACAAAAAUAAAAAGUUAUAAGACUUUUAAAUAUGUGGAUUUUAGGGUUAUCUUUGGCGCCCCCUAGAACCUAAACCGUGGGGUGCAGCGUCAUGAUUUGAAUAACUUUUAAUGGCCAUGGGGUGUAGAUUGGCCUGAGCAAAUGUGGUGCCGGUGGAACGAAAGCCUUCGGAGGACUUAGCGAAAUUCCAAUGUGUGCGGAUCGGCAAAAAAUGCGGAAUAACCCUUUAACCGUACAUUUGACAGAUAUGCGCGCAUUUACUUUUUCGUAGAUCUUAUUGAGAUACAUGUGUGUGUCAAUUUUUGUGUCAUUUUGCCAAAGCGUACAGGUGUUACACUCAACAAUUUGUAUUUUCACCUUAGGGGACAAGAAAAAAUGGACUUUUUUCUCCUGCCAUGGGGGGGCGCUCUUUUGGGGAGUAAAAAUUCCUUCACAAAUGUGUUGAUGGCUGGACAUUGCAUCAUCCUAGAAAACUUGGAGGCCAGUGAGGGCAAAAAAAAAAAGUUAUAAGACUUUUAAAUAUGUGGAUCUUAGGGUUAUCUUUGGCGCCCCCUAGAACCUAAACCGUGGGGUGCAGCGUCAUGAUUUGAAUAACUAUUAAUGGCCAUGGGGUGUAGAUUGGCCUGAGCAAAUGUGGUGGCGGUGGAACGAAAGCCUUCGGAGGAGUUAGCGAAAUUCCAAUGUGUGCACAUCGGCAAAAAAUGCGGAAUAACCCUUUAACCGUACAUUUGACAGAUACGCCCGCACUGACUUUUUUGUAGAUCUUAUUGAGAUACAUGUGUGUGUCAAUUUUUGCGUCAUUUUGACAAAGCGUACAGGCGUGACAGUCAAUAGUGUGAAUUUUCACCUUAGGGGGCGCUAUGGAGCCAUUUUGCAUUUUCUUGUUUGGGCGACUUCGGAAUAUCAAAUUUUUCACCAGGCCCGGUCGUCCGGCCAAAUUUCAUGAGUUUUCGCCAGUGGGAAGUGGGCCAUUUUCCAGUUCAAAGGGGAGGAAAAAUAACUAGGACCCCGUUGGGGCACUGGCGGGCCCGAGCCGUGUCGCGUCCCCCCCCAACGUGCUGCCUCCCCGUCCCAUUUGUGUCCUCUGGCCAUCGCCCUCUCUGGUAACGCCCAUCACUGCAAAGACCCUUUUCCUUCAUCGGCGUUUGCUGUUCUUCCUGCCAGUGCGUGUUGCUUUCACUUACACUUGCCACAGCCAGCCUCGUGAGUGCCUAGCCUAUUGGAUAUCACUGUCACCUACACAGGACAGUCAUUACCUUUCUAUUAAUACUUUGUGUUUUAAUUUCACAUUAAUUUCCAUAUUGUAUAAACGACUGGAAAAAACUUGAGCCCCUGCCCCUGUAUAAUCAUGUGCAUGUCUCUGUUCUAGCUCCAAGGUGAAUCUUCACUGCUCAUGUUCUCCUCAGAAGCACUCACCUCACUCCCCUCAGGUUACUGUACACAUGCACCAACUGCCUGCUUCAGGUUUGGAUGGAGCUUCAUCGUUGUCUUUUGGAGAAAUGACCAGUCAAGUUGUGUUUGAAAUUUGAUUUUUUUCAGGGGCAAAAGGAGCCUCUGCAUUCUUGUCAAAUAUGUAAAUAGCAUGUUUUUGCAGGUGCUAAAAACCAGACUCUGAGUGUGUGUGUGUGUGUGUGUGUGUGUGUGCGUGUGUGUGUCUGUGUGUGCGUUCAAGUCACAUGACAUAUUUAACCGGAUGUAGCUGCAAGACGGAGCCUCGUUGACUCUCCGUUUCAACUUAUCUCAAAAGUGAGGACCUCAACCUAUAUACCAGUUUUUAAAUUGUGUUGAUAGGCCAAAUAAAACCAGAGUUAUGAUAAAU
Non-coding RNA from Xyrichtys novacula (pearly razorfish), 12600 nucleotides. Lineage: Eukaryota; Metazoa; Chordata; Actinopteri; Labriformes; Labridae. The record is from the annotation of a GenBank genome assembly.